UAAUAAUAUUAUUUAAAUUAAUAAUAUUAUUUAAAUUAAUAAUAUUAUUAAUAUUUAAAUUAAUAAUAUUUAAAUUUAAAUAUUAUUAAUUUAAAAUAAUCAGAUAAAUCUAAUUUUAAAUUUUUAGACCUCUACAAGCCCCCAACCAGCCUCCCCCCGACCCCGCCCCACCAUCAAAGCUCCCUAACUCCUCCCCCAAGCCCCCACG
Molecule: long non-coding RNA, 208 nt
Filed under: Elaeis guineensis (African oil palm)
Lineage: Eukaryota; Viridiplantae; Streptophyta; Magnoliopsida; Arecales; Arecaceae
Description: long non-coding RNA (EGUI_LNC009970)
Source: RNAcentral